Molecule: ribosomal RNA, 842 nt
Filed under: uncultured bacterium
Lineage: Bacteria
Description: bacterial SSU rRNA
Rfam family: Bacterial small subunit ribosomal RNA
Source: RNAcentral
AGAGUUUGAUUCUGGCUCAGGACGAACGCUGGCGGCGUGCUUAACACAUGCAAGUCGAACGAAGCAAUUAAUCAGACAUCUUCGGAUAGACGAUUAAUAGACUUAGUGGCGAACGGGUGAGUAACGCGUGGAUAACCUACCCAUCAGUGGGGGAUAACAGCUGGAAACGGCUGCUAAUACCGCAUAACCUUUCCACUACACAAGUAGCAGAAAGCAAAGAUGGCCUCUUCGAGAAAGCUAUCACUAAUGGCAGGGUCCGCGUCUGAUUAGCUAGUUGGUAAGGUAAAAGCUUACCAAGGCCACGAUCAGUAGCCGGCCUGAGAGGGUGGACGGCCACACUGGGACUGAGACACGGCCCAGACUCCUACGGGAGGCAGCAGUGGGGAAUAUUGUGCAAUGGGGGCAACCCUGACACAGCGACGCCGCGUGAGCGAAGAAGGCCUUAGGGUCGUAAAGCUCUGUUAUACGGGACGAACACUAUAUAUGUGAACAACAUAUAUAGCUGACGGUAUCGUACGAGCAAGCCCCGGCUAACUAUGUGCCAGCAGCCGCGGUAAGACAUAGGGGGCUAGCGUUGUCCGGAAUUACUGGGCGUAAAGGGCACGUAGGCGGGUACUUAAGUCAGAUGUGAAAGACCGCAGCUUAACUGCGGUAUUGCAUAUGAAACUGAGUACCUUGAGGGCAGGAGAGGAAAGCAGAAUUCCUGGUGUAGCGGUGAAAUGCGUAGAAAUCAGGAGGAAUACCGGUGGCGAAGGCGGCUUUCUGGACUGACCCUGACGCUGAUGUGCGAAAGCGUGGUUAGCAAACAAAAUUAGAUACCCUGGUAGUCCACGCCGUAAACG